RNAcentral lists this long non-coding RNA (335 nucleotides) under Mytilus galloprovincialis (Mediterranean mussel). Lineage: Eukaryota; Metazoa; Mollusca; Bivalvia; Mytilida; Mytilidae. The record is from RNAcentral.
CGGGUAAAAACGACAAAUCAAAAAAUUCAACUCUAUAUAUAACUAAUAUAGGACAAUGGUGUAGAUUAAAAAUUACACCACUCCAGACCCUUUUGUUUUCCACAUAAUUAAUAUUGCCAAUGAUUAACAAGUUCCGGGUCUAAUCCGAUACCGAUACCAAUAGUAUAUUCACCUGUUAGCUAUUACCUUAUCUGUACGUUCCGCAUUUGACAGGCGCACCACCAAACGGUGUAUUUAGGAUUUUGCUAUAUUAUUAUACACGGGUCAUAAUCAAAGGGCUGACACUACUAAAUUCAAUCAUUGUCAAAUUGUUCCCUAUUGUAGCUUUAUUCAGC